Molecule: ribosomal RNA, 253 nt
Filed under: uncultured bacterium
Lineage: Bacteria
Description: partial 16S ribosomal RNA
Rfam family: Bacterial small subunit ribosomal RNA
Source: RNAcentral
UACGGCGGUGGCAAGCGUUGUUCGGAAUUACUGGGCGUAAAGGGCGCGUAGGCGGCUAGGCAAGUCAGGUGUGAAAGCCCCGAGCUUAACUCGGGAACUGCAUCUGAAACUGCUGGGCUUGAGUUCUGGAGGGGGUAGUGGAAUUCCCAGUGUAGCGGUGAAAUGCGUAGAUAUUGGGAGGAACACCUGCGGCGAAGGCGGCUACCUGGACAGAAACUGACGCUGAGGCGCGAAAGCUAGGGGAGCGAACGGG